This 257-nucleotide unclassified non-coding RNA is filed under the name Hevea brasiliensis (rubber tree). Lineage: Eukaryota; Viridiplantae; Streptophyta; Magnoliopsida; Malpighiales; Euphorbiaceae. The record is from RNAcentral.
GAGGAGUACAUGAAGGCGAAUGAGGUUACUCUACUGAAUGUUUUGUCCGUUUGCCUAGAGGAGUCAGAGCAGUUGAUAGUGAAAGAACUGCAUGGCUACUCACUUAGAAAUGGUCUUGAAUACCAUGAGUUGUUAACAAAUGCUUUUAUAGCUGCCUAUGCGAACUGUGGAUUGCUCAGAUAUGCAGAGCUUGUAUUCCACGGAGUGGCGAACAAGACAGUAAGCUCUUGGAAUGCACUGAUAAGAGGCUAUGCUCA